This 73-nucleotide transfer RNA is filed under the name Bos taurus (domestic cattle). RNAcentral's name for it is "tRNA-Trp (CCA) (tRNA-Trp-CCA-27-1)". It matches the Rfam family "tRNA". From Rfam's summary of the family: Transfer RNA (tRNA) molecules are approximately 80 nucleotides in length. Their secondary structure includes four short double-helical elements and three loops (D, anti-codon, and T loops). Lineage: Eukaryota; Metazoa; Chordata; Mammalia; Artiodactyla; Bovidae. The record is from RNAcentral.
UUCCUGGUGGCUCAGAGGUUAAAGCGUCUGCCUCCAAUGCAGGAGACCCAGGUUCGAUCCCUGGGUCGGGAAG